UACGAAGGGUGCAAGCGUUACUCGGAAUUACUGGGCGUAAAGGGUUCGUAGGUGGCCAACUAAGUCAGACGUGAAAUCCCUCGGCUUAACCGGGGAACUGCGUCUGAUACUGGAUGGCUUGAGUUUGGGAGAGGGAUGCGGAAUUCCAGGUGUAGCGGUGAAAUGCGUAGAUAUCUGGAGGAACACCGGUGGCGAAGGCGGCAUCCUGGACCAAUACUGACACUGAGGAGCGAAAGCCAGGGGAGCAAACGGG
Molecule: ribosomal RNA, 253 nt
Filed under: uncultured bacterium
Lineage: Bacteria
Description: partial 16S ribosomal RNA
Rfam family: Bacterial small subunit ribosomal RNA
Source: RNAcentral